This 273-nucleotide long non-coding RNA is filed under the name Felis catus (domestic cat). RNAcentral describes it as "lncRNA (ENSFCAG00000047350.1)". The record is from RNAcentral. Lineage: Eukaryota; Metazoa; Chordata; Mammalia; Carnivora; Felidae.
GGAUGUCAUCAAAGAUGUGAACUCCUUGAACUUCCUCCACUCAACUGCCCUCUCCAAAGCCUGAUACCUAAGCUUCCAUAGAGGAGUCAUCUACGCUUUGUGAAUUUUUAUUCAGUUUCUGCAAGUGAUAUUUUCUACCCUUGCUUCAAAUGCUUGGGAUACACCCUUUAUGAGGCUUUCAACUUCCUGUGCACAGUUUCCUUUUUGCAGAAACCCGUAAGACAUUGCUGACAACCAUACCUGACUGCUCUCCUGAGAUUCAGCUACUGAACC